RNAcentral lists this ribosomal RNA (905 nucleotides) under uncultured bacterium. RNAcentral describes it as "bacterial SSU rRNA". It matches the Rfam family "Bacterial small subunit ribosomal RNA", at positions 8 to 917 of the family's 1533-position model. The record is from RNAcentral.
AGAGUUUGAUCCUGGCUCAGGAUGAACGCUAGCGGCAGGCUUAACACAUGCAAGUCGAGGGGUAGAGGUUGCUUGCAACCUUGAGACCGGCGCACGGGUGCGUAACGCGUAUGCAAUCUACCUUUCACAGGGGGAUAGCCCGGAGAAAUUCGGAUUAAUAUUCCAUAGUAUAUAGAUGUGGCCUCACAAUUAUAUUAAAGAUUUAUCGGUGAAAGAUGAGCAUGCGUCCCAUUAGCUAGUUGGUAAGGUAACGGCUUACCAAGGCUACGAUGGGUAGGGGUCCUGAGAGGGAGAUCCCCCACACUGGUACUGAGACACGGACCAGACUCCUACGGGAGGCAGCAGUGAGGAGUAUUGGUCAAUGGGCGCAAGCCUGAACCAGCCAUGCCGCGUGCAGGAUGAAGGUCCUAUGGAUUGUAAACUGCUUUUGUACGGGAAGAAACACCGGUUCGUGAACCGGCUUGACGGUACCGUAAGAAUAAGGAUCGGCUAACUCCGUGCCAGCAGCCGCGGUAAUACGGAGGAUCCAAGCGUUAUCCGGAAUCAUUGGGUUUAAAGGGUCCGUAGGCGGCCAUGUAAGUCAGUGGUGAAAUCUCACGGCUCAACCGUGAAAUGGCCAUUGAUACUGUGUGGCUUGAAUAAUCGGGAAGCAGCUAGAAUAUGUAGUGUAGCGGUGAAAUGCUUAGAUAUUACAUGGAAUACCGAUUGCGAANGCAGGCUGCUACCGGUUUAUUGACGCUGAUGGACGAAAGCGUGGGGAGCGAACAGGAUUAGAUACCCUGGUAGUCCACGCUGUAAACGAUGGAUACUAGCUGUUGGAGUUUACUUCAGUGGCUAAGCGAAAGUGAUAAGUAUCCCACCUGGGGAGUACGAACGCAAGUUUGAAACUCAAAGGAAUUGACGGG